UGGGGAAUAUUGGACAAUGGGCGAAAGCCUGAUCCAGCCAUGCCGCGUGUGUGAAGAAGGUCUUCGGAUUGUAAAGCACUUUAAGUUGGGAGGAAGGGCAGUAAGCGAAUACCUUGCUGUUUUGACGUUACCGACAGAAUAAGCACCGGCUAACUCUGUGCCAGCAGCCGCGGUAAUACAGAGGGUGCAAGCGUUAAUCGGAAUUACUUGGCGUAAAGCGCGCGUAGGUGGUUCGUUAAGUUGAAUGUGAAAGCCCCGGGCUCAACCUUGGAACUGCAUCCAAAAAAGGCGAGCUAGAGUAGGGCAGAAGGGGGUGGAAUUUCCUGGGUAGCGGUGGAAUGCGUAGGUAUAAGGAGGAACAACAGUGGCGGAGGGGAACACCUAGGGUCAUAAUGACAAUGAGGGGCGGAAGGGUUGGGAGCAAACAGG
RNAcentral lists this ribosomal RNA (429 nucleotides) under Pseudomonadota bacterium. RNAcentral describes it as "Proteobacteria bacterium partial 16S ribosomal RNA". It matches the Rfam family "Bacterial small subunit ribosomal RNA", at positions 355 to 776 of the family's 1533-position model. Lineage: Bacteria; Pseudomonadati; Pseudomonadota. The record is from RNAcentral.